GGGGUUGUGGCUCAGUGGCAGAGUGCUCACCUAGCAUGUGUGAGGCACUGGGUUUGAUUCUCGGCACCGCA
This 71-nucleotide transfer RNA is filed under the name Marmota monax (woodchuck). Its description in RNAcentral is "tRNA.Ala". Lineage: Eukaryota; Metazoa; Chordata; Mammalia; Rodentia; Sciuridae. The record is from RNAcentral.